CCGACUGGGAGUAGUCUAAAGUCUUCUCCAUAAUCCACACAUUCAUAUUGAACCUUAUUUGCACCUGUUGAUGCCAUCAAUGAUCACUUGCAUUGUCGGAAAAAGGCUAGGGCAUAGGCUCUCUGAUAACCACUGGGAACUUGGAGACUUCUCUGCCAAUUUGGUUGGUCUGGUAUGCCGGAGGUUUGGUCAUGUCUAUCACAAUGUUCAAAACCGGUUAACAAAAAUAUUAAUCCAUGCGUUUCUUGAUCCUGCGAAAUCAUUCACCCAACAUUAUGGUGCUGUUCAAGGGAUAUCUGCAUUGGGGCCCAGUGCGGUAGAACCUAAUCAGUGUAAACUCAUCCUUUGUCUUAGUCAUGCUGAUUGUAUUUGUUGCUUACAGAUUAGGCUGCUGCUUUUGCCAACCUCAUGACAUAUAUGCAACUUCUGGAGCCAGAACUGCAACUCGAGAAGCAGAAAAUG
This is a long non-coding RNA of Panicum virgatum (switchgrass), 462 nucleotides long. RefSeq lists it as uncharacterized. The record is from RefSeq and is a predicted model, not a curated record. Lineage: Eukaryota; Viridiplantae; Streptophyta; Magnoliopsida; Poales; Poaceae. The transcript is spliced from 3 exons.